Molecule: non-coding RNA, 787 nt
Organism: Scomber scombrus (Atlantic mackerel)
Lineage: Eukaryota; Metazoa; Chordata; Actinopteri; Scombriformes; Scombridae
Source: the annotation of a RefSeq genome assembly
UCUGACACCUCCUCUGUUCAUUUUACUGUGACAGUGAUGUGCUCAUGUCCACAGCUGCUGAACUAACAGGGCCUGAAAGUAAAGCGAGUACUGAGCCUCACAUCUCAACUUCUUUAACAUGAUGUUCAUGGUCUUCAUGUUUUGUUUCCUUCAUCUGCCGGGAAAUGACGGUGUCUCUCAUACCACCAAAAUCCUCCAAACACCUCCAUUCAUCAUUAAGAGAGCUGGUGAAUCUGUUGACAAUGAGAUCUCCUGCUCACACAGUAUAACAAAUUAUGAUCGUAUUCUCUGGUACAAGCAAGACAAAUACAAAUCUCUCAAGUUCCUGGGAUAUCUUAACUUGGACAACCUUUAUCCCGAGAAAGAUGUGAAAGGAAAGAUCAGCUUUAAUGGAGAUGGCCGUACACAUUCAAAGCUGACUAUAUCUGAUGUUUCAUUAAAUGACAGUGCAGUGUAUUUCUGUGCUGCCAGUUCCUCUCUCAGUGACCAAGUCCACCAGACACCAGCUGACAUGUACAAAAAACCAGGAGAACAAGCCAAUAUCAGCUGUUCACACAGUAUUCAAAACUACGAUCGUAUCCUCUGGUACAAACAAUUAAAGGACAGACAGCUGCAGUUACUGGGUUACAUGACGGGAGGCACUGGAUUACCAGAGACUGGAUCUGGUUCCUCUCUGAGUGACAAAGUCUACCAGACUCCAGCUCACAUGUACAACAAACAAGGAGAAACUGCCAAAAUCAACUGUUCACACAGUAUUGACAGCUACAACCGGAUCCUUUGCUGCUGA